Molecule: ribosomal RNA, 659 nt
Filed under: uncultured bacterium
Lineage: Bacteria
Description: bacterial SSU rRNA
Rfam family: Bacterial small subunit ribosomal RNA
Source: RNAcentral
AGAGUUUGAUCAUGGCUCAGGAUGAACGCUGGCGGCGUGCUUAACACAUGCAAGUCGAACGGACCUGUACUGAAACCUAGUGAUUUACAGGUUAGUGGCGGACGGGUGAGUAACGCGUGGAAAACCUGCCGUAUACUGGGGGAUAACACUUAGAAAUAGGUGCUAAUACCGCAUAAGCGCACAGGCCCGCAUGGGACAGUGUGAAAAACUCCGGUGGUAUACGAUGGUUCCGCGUCUGAUUAGCUUGUUGGCGGGGUAACGGCCCACCAAGGCGACGAUCAGUAGCCGGCCUGAGAGGGUGAACGGCCACAUUGGGACUGAGACACGGCCCAGACUCCUACGGGAGGCAGCAGUGGGGAAUAUUGCACAAUGGGGGAAACCCUGAUGCAGCGACGCCGCGUGAGUGAAGAAGUAUCUCGGUACGUAAAGCUCUAUCAGCAGGGAAGAAAAAAAGUCUUUGGCUUUGGACGGUACCUGACUAAGAAGCCCCGGCUAACUACGUGCCAGCAGCCGCGGUAAUACGUAGGGGGCAAGCGUUAUCCGGAUUUACUGGGUGUAAAGGGAGCGUAGACGGCAGCGCAAGUCUGGAGUGAAAUGCCGGGGCUCAACCCCGGAACUGCUUUGGAAACUGUGCAGCUAGAGUGCGGGAGAGGCAAGCG